UAGGGAAUCUUCGGCAAUGGACGGAAGUCUGACCGAGCAACGCCGCGUGAGUGAAGAAGGUUUUCGGAUCGUAAAGCUCUGUUGUAAGAGAAGAACGAGUGUGAGAGUGGAAAGUUCACACUGUGACGGUAUCUUACCAGAAAGGGACGGCUAACUACGUGCCAGCAGCCGCGGUAAUACGUAGGUCCCGAGCGUUGUCCGGAUUUAUUGGGCGUAAAGCGAGCGCAGGCGGUUAGAUAAGUCUGAAGUUAAAGGCUGUGGCUUAACCAUAGUACGCUUUGGAAACUGUUUAACUUGAGUGCAAGAGGGGAGAGUGGAAUUCCAUGUGUAGCGGUGAAAUGCGUAGAUAUAUGGAGGAACACCGGUGGCGAAAGCGGCUCUCUGGCUUGUAACUGACGCUGAGGCUCGAAAGCGUGGGGAGCAAACAGGAUUAGAUACCCUGGUAGUCCACGCCGUANCGAUGAGUGCUAGGUGUUAGACCCUUUCCGGGGUUUAGUGCCGCAGCUAACGCAUUAAGCACUCCGCCUGGGGAGUACGACCGCAAGGUUG
This 549-nucleotide ribosomal RNA is filed under the name uncultured bacterium. RNAcentral's name for it is "bacterial SSU rRNA". It matches the Rfam family "Bacterial small subunit ribosomal RNA", at positions 355 to 896 of the family's 1533-position model. The record is from RNAcentral.